AUUGAACGCUGGCGGCAGGCCUUACACAUGCAAGUCGAACGAGUGGCGGACGGGUGAGUAAUGUCUGGGAAACUGCCUGAUGGAGGGGGAUAACUACUCGAAACGGUAGCUAAUACCGCAUACCAUCAGAUGGGCCCAGAUGGGAUUAGCUAGUUGGUGGGGUAACGGCUCACCAAGGCGACGGUCCCUAGCUGGUCUGAGAGGAUGACCAGCCACACUGGAACUGAGACACGGUCCAGACUCCUACGGGAGGCAGCAGUGGGGAAUAUUGCACAAUGGGCGCAAGCCUGAUGCAGCCAUGCCGCGUGUAUGAAGAAGGCCUUCGGGUUGUAAAGUACUUUUGGCAGGGAGGCGGUACCCGCAGAAGAAGCACCGGCUAACUCCGUGCCAGCAGCCGCGGUAAUUC
RNAcentral lists this ribosomal RNA (406 nucleotides) under uncultured bacterium. Its description in RNAcentral is "partial 16S ribosomal RNA". It matches the Rfam family "Bacterial small subunit ribosomal RNA", at positions 30 to 526 of the family's 1533-position model. The record is from RNAcentral.